CCUACGGGGGGCAGCAGUGAGGAAUAUUGGUCAAUGGCCGGAAGGCUGAACCAGCCAUGCCGCGUGAAGGUCAGUGCCCUAUGGGCGUUAAACUUCUUUUGUGCGGGAGCAAUAAUGGUCACGUGUGGCCAGACGAGAGUACCGUACGAAUAAGCAUCGGCUAACUCCGUGCCAGCAGCCGCGGUAAUACGGGGGAUGCAAGCGUUAUCCGGAUUUAUUGGGUUUAAAGGGUGCGUAGGCUGGGAGGUAAGUCAGCGGUGAAAUGCCCCCGCUCAACGGGGUGAAGUGCAAUUGAUACUGCAUUGCUGGAAUGAGGAUGCCGAGGGAGGAAUGGGGGGUGUAGCGGUGAAAUGCAUAGAUAUCACACAGAACACCGUUUGCGAGGGCAUCUCACAAAUCCGGGAUUGACGCUGUUGCACGAAAGCGUGGGUAUAAAACAGGAUUAGAUACCCCUGUAUC
RNAcentral lists this ribosomal RNA (459 nucleotides) under uncultured bacterium. RNAcentral describes it as "partial 16S ribosomal RNA". It matches the Rfam family "Bacterial small subunit ribosomal RNA", at positions 338 to 794 of the family's 1533-position model. The record is from RNAcentral.